GAGUUGACCACAGGAGGUUGAAAUCCUAUCAAUGAGGGUCUAUAAAUAUGUCAACUCGACUAUCACAGUAGAGCUUCUCUCGUAGAGAGAAGCGACAGGAAUGCAACGCGUUUUUCAAUUUUUUUUAACUUUUUUGAAUCUGGGACUUUUUGAUCGGAAUAAACGCUAUGCGUCAACUAAUAAACAUAUUGUUACUUCAAUUAACCACUUAAACUACUUUGCAGGUCACUAAUUAUUAAUUUACAGCUUCUUUUUACGUCCUGACAGAAUCCUUGUCAUUAUUUUUGGCCAUGGGAGGAAGUCGAGGAAAUUCCAAUCAGCAGUGAAUAUAUGUAAAUGAGGUAUAGUAUUUCAUGAAUAAACAUUAGAACAUUGAACUUUUGAACUUUUGAACCAUCAUGAACUUCCGGUUUCUUUCCCGCAAAAUUAUUUCUUUCUACCAGAGCUGUCAAAAUGGACAAUAGACGAGAAUUUUCGUUCGCCAAAGCAAGAGAGGGCCAUAAUUUGCUAAUUACAGGCAUGUGUGGAACAGGGAAGACAAGUAUUGUAAAGUAUGAGUAUAUUUCAUCAGCAAUUAGUAAAAAUGCGUGAUAAAAGUAAAACAUAAAAGCUCUGAAAAUUUGGCGCAAGUUAUUUUUGGUCGUAUGCCCUGUUUGCCUCGGGGUCCUUGAGGCAUAAAGAUUGUUCGAGAGAUUGUUACUUCAUCUCAACAUGAAAAAGCAUAAAUAAAACAGAAAAAAUAUAAUAUCUCGAGUUUUAUUCUAUUUUAUUCACGUAUGAAUUAAAAUUAUUGAUAAAAUUUGAUGAAAAAAAAUUGGCGCAUUUUUCUGAUAGUAUGCCAUGAAUGAGGAUUGGAUGUAUUCUUGGCAUGGUGGUCCUCUUAUUAUAAAGAUUAUAAAGAUUGUGAAUUAAAUUAAGGCACUGAUCAUUCAUCUUUUGAAUGAAAGUUGGGUGUUUUUUUUUUUUUGAAAAAAUGUUUGAUAAUUUCUGAAAUUUGUUAAAAAAAAAAGUUUUACGGGAGGGGAUAUAAAAACUGAACAUUAAACCCGGUACAAAUUUAUCAAGACAUUGAACCCGUGCUAGGAUACAAUUUAAAAAAAGGCAGGACAGGAUCAAAGUUUUGAGUGAAAAGCAGGAGGAGCAGCUGGACAAAUCAAUCCAGGAUUAAGUUAUAAAAAAGAGACGGGACCAAAUAUCACACAUAUAGUGAAAAAAAAAUAAAAAUGUUAGACAGAGAUUGCAACUAGAAAAAGGCAGCCCAAAAUAUAGUCCCCCCCCCUCCCCCCUACUAAAAUUAAAUCAUAGCCUAAUUCUAAACUAUAAACAGCCAUAACCAAAAUACCAAACAAACUGUAACUUCUAAGUAUGUGUGACUUGUCUUGUGUCUUGCAAGUCAAGAAAAUGAUUUGUUUCAAUAAAAAAAAUCUAUGUCCCAUGCAUAUUUUCAUUGGUCUUAUGCAUUGAGAAAUUUUGACCGGUCACUUAAACAGUUAGAAGUACAAAAAAAAUACAUUAUGUUUCAGAAAAAUAUUUGUUGUUUCUGUAUGCUAUAAAACAUUAGUUUGUUCCUUUAAAACAUAAAAAAGUUUGUUCUGAGAAAAUAAAGGUUUCCCACCCCUCUAAAGAUGAAUGGUUGGUGCCUUUUUAAAAACUUGAUAUCACACAUAUAAUCACCCAAUGCACCCUAAAAAUUAUAAAUUUGUUUUACAAACUAUAUGAUAGAAAUGUGUCCUUUAUAUUGUGUUCAGUACCCAGCUUGGCUUUUAUCUUUUAUUAUCCUUUUGCCUUGAUCAGCAGAGUAUACAUGUGGCAAGUGGUCGUCAAUCUCAACUUUACUCGAACACUGAUAACCAUUCAGAGCGGAUAUCUCAUUUUUGAUAGCAUCCUGAAAAAUAAAGUUCAUUGAAGAAUUUGUCACCAUGACCCUGGUCACCCAACAUUUCAUUCACCUCCAAAUCUAUUAGCAUAAUCUUCAGUCAUACAUUGUAUAUUCAAGGCAUCACACCCCGGGCUACUACUAAGUUACAUGGGAAAGAAUAAUGAAAUAUCCACAAUCUUACAGGAGCAUAGUCAAAGGCAUUUGUGGGUUCACACUUUUAUUUUUAUUUCUACAUGAAUAAGAUCUGGUGUGUGUGUGUGUGUGCCAAUGAGACAACUUUCCAUCCAAAUCACAAUGUAUUAAAAGUGAACAAUUAUAGGUCACAGUACAGCCUUCAACACAGAGCCUUACAUAAGACAGAACAGCAAGCUAUAAAGGGCCCCAAAAUGACCAGUGUAACUCAAUUCAAACAGGAAAAUAAAUUGUCUAAUCUACAUUGUAUUUACAAAACUAGAAACAAGAAACACCUAACAAACUACCAAUGACAAACACUGAACAACAGGUUCCUGGGUUAUGACAGGUGCAUAUGAUAUGCAGUUGGUUUGAAUAUUUUACCAAUUGCCAAUACAGCAGUAUAAAACUACAACACGAAAAGGCACACUGCUGUAAAAUGAUAAUUGAAAAUGGCUUAACUUAAAAUGGCAAUUGAACAAAAUACAUAAUAAAAAAGAAGAUGUGGUGUAAUUGCCAAUGAGACAACUCUACACAAGAGACCAAAGGACACAGAAAUUAACAACUAUAGGUCACUGUACGGUCUUCAAUAUUGAGCAAAGCCCAUACCGCAUAGUCAGCUAUAAAAGGCCCUGGAAUGAAAAAUGUAAAACAAUUCUAACGAGAAAACUAACUGCCUUAUUAAUGUACAAAUAAAUGAAAGAAAAAAAUAUGUGACACAGUAACAAACGACAACCACUAAAUUACAGGCAGGCUCCUGACUUGGGACAGGCACAUACAUAAAUAAUGUGGCGGGUUAAACAUGUAAGCGGGAUCCCAACACUGGGACAGUGGUGUAACAAUACAACAUAUAAGAACGAACUAUAAAAAUCAGUUGAAAAAGGCUCAACUCAUCAGAUGGAUAGAAAUACAUCUAACAAAAACAGAAUGGCUCAAUGUUUGUUAAUUGAAUGAACUGAAAUAUGCAUAUGAGGUCCCCUGAUUUGAACAAUUAAAUGACAAAAAUUUCACUUUACAAAUUUGUGUUUUCUAGAUAUUUUUUAGUUACCUGGCCCGAAGGGCCAAGUGAGCUUUCCCAUCAUAUGUCGUCGUCCUGCGUCCGUCGUUUAACUUUUACAAAAAUCUUCUUUGAAACUACUAAGCCAAAUUUAAUCAAACUUGCCACAAUCAUCAUUGGGGGUAUCUAGUUUAAAAAAUGUGUCCGGUGACCCCGCCAACCAACCAAGAUGGCCGCCAUGGCUAAAAAUAGAACAUAGGGGUAAAAUGCAGUUUUUGGCUUAUAACUCAAAAAACCAAAGCAUUUAGAGCAAAAUCUGACAUGGGGUAAAAUUGUUUAUCAGGUCAAGAUCUAUCUGCCCAGAAAUUUUCAGAUGAAUCGGACAACCCGUUGAUGGGUUGCUGCCCCUGAAUUGGUAAUUUUAUGGAAAUUUUGCUGUUUUUGGUUAUUAUCUUGAAUAUUAUUAUAGAUAGAGAUAAACUGUAAACAGCAAUAAUGUUCAGCAAAGUAAGAUUUACAAAUAAGUCAACAUGACCGAAAUGGUCAGUUUGACCCCUUAAGGAGUUAUUGCCCUUUAUAGUCAAUUUUUAACCAUUUUUCGUAAAUCUUAGUGAUCUUUUACAAAAAUCUUCUCCUCUGAAACUACUGGGCUAAAUUAAUCCAAACUUGGCCACAAUCAUCUUUGGGUAUGUAGUUUAAAAAAUGUGUCCGGUGACCCGGCAUCCAACCAAGAUGGCUGCCAUGGCUAAAUAUAGGACAUAGGGGUAAAAUGCAGUUUUUUGGCUUAUAACUCAAAAAUCAAAGCAGCAUUAGAGCAAAUCUGACCAGUAAAUUGUUUUAUCAUGUCAAGAUCUAUCUGCCCUGAAAUUUUCAGAUGGAUCCGACAACGGGUUGUUGGUUGCUGCCCAUGAAUUGGUAAUUUUAAGAAAAUUUUGACGUUUUUUGUUAUUAUCUUGAAUAUUAUUAUAGAUAGAGAUAAACUGUAAACAGCAAUAAUGACAGCAAAGUAAGACCUAAAGAUAAGUCAACAUGACAAAAAAUGGUCAGUUGACCCCUAAGGAGUUAUUGUCCUUUAUAGUCAAUUUUUAACAAUUUUCAUAAAAUUUGUAAAUUUUUACUAACAUUUUCCCCUGAAACUACUGGGCCAAGAUCAUUAUAGAUAGAGAUAAUUGUAAGGAGCAAGAAUGUUCAGUAAAGUAAGAUGUCAAACACAUCACCAUCACCUAAACAAAUUUGUCAUGAAUCCAUCUGCUUCUUAGUUUAAUAUCACAUAUACCAAGGUGAGCGACACAGGCUCUUUAGAGCCUCUAGUUUGAAAUAGUUAAAAAAAAUCAUUUGAAGGCGUUUUCAACAUAAGACAGGCCCUGGGUGAAAUAAGUUUUAAAGAAUUUUUUUUUUUUAUCUUGAACAUCAUUACAGAUUGAGAGUUAAAAACAGCAAAAAAUAUUAAGCAAAAAAGAUCUACAAAAUAAAUCAACAUGACCUUAUUGCAGUUAUUAGUCCCCUACCAACAAAGUUGAAGGGGACUUUAGGUUUGCACUCUGUCGUCUGUCUGUCUGUCCGUCAGUCCGGCAAAUCAGCUUUCCACACUUUUUAUGCCCCCACAACUAAAAGUUGGGGGGCAUAUUGUUUUACCCCCGUCCGUCCAUCCGUCCGUCCCAUUAUAGGUAUAUAGUUAUUCCGGAUAACUCAUCCUACAGUUUGAAUGCUAGGAAGUUUUCACUUUGCAAUCUGUUUGUACAUAUAUUAAAGGUGUGCAUUUGGUCAGGGUUUUGAUUUUUAUUAUUAAUAUUUGCUCUUUUGGGAGAUAGUUGGACUUAGUAAUUUUUGGAGUAUAAACAUGCAAAAGAGGUGCAUAGCGUUUCCUAAUAACUCCUCCUACAGUUUAAAUGCUAGGAAGUUUUCACUUUGCAAGCUGUUUGUACAUAUAUAUUGAAGGUGUGCAUGUGGUCAGGUUUUGAUUUUUGUCUCGUCUGCGACUUUUGUCGCAAAAAGCGAGACUUAGGGAUAGUGAUCCGAUGGCUGCGUUAGCUCUUGACUUAGAGCUUAAUAUUUCAGAAGGUAGACCUGGAUACUUCAUACUUUUCAUGGAUCAGUGAACAAGGUUAAGUUUACAGGGUUAAGUCCAUAUCUAAAAACUAUAAGCAAUAGGUAUUCUAUAUUUGGUGUGUGGAAUGAUUGUACAUGUCCAACUGACAGGUGUCAUCUGACCUUGACCUCAUUUUCAUGGUUCAGUGGUCAGUUAAUUUUUUGUGUUUUGGUCUAUUUCACAGAUACUAUUAGCAUUCUGUCAAUUAUAUUUGGUGUAUGGAAUGAUUGUAAGGUGUACAUGUCCAAGUGACAGGUGUCAUCUGACCUUGACCUCAUUUUCAUGGUUUGAAAACCCAUGGACAACCUCACAAGACAACGUCCAGGGAUGUCAACAAAAACCUUGGUAUCAUUUACAGUACACUGAAAAACUAUCCAAAAACUAUAAAAUAUGUAUAACAUAAUUAUUUUCAUAACUAACUAUUACAGGAAGAAGUGAAAUAUUUUCAUCACAAGAACACAGGAUGUUAACUGGAUUUUUUUUCAGUUAAGUAUAUAUAUAUAUAUUAAUCAGUAACUAAAAUAGAAAAUCAAAAAUGCCCCAGAUUUAACAGUCAGGGGUAUGACUCAAACAAGUGAUUUCAUUAUCGCUUAUUUCAGUGAUUUUCAAAUUUCAGUAAUCACCUAUUUAAGUGAUUUUGGUGUUUUCUUUGAUCUUCAAAUGCUGAUUUCACUAAUUUUCCAUGAAAUGGCAAUUUUUUCUGAAAUUUGUCUACAUAGAUCAAUUAUCUCUUUAUCUUGAUAUAUCAAUUUUAUCAGUGCGCUUGGGCAGCAAGUUAGUGCGCUGAAGCUUUUAAAAGAACCCUUGGGACUAUUUCUGUCUUCUAUAUACUAUAUUUCUAGAGUUUACUACUCUACCAAUAACAUAAAGGUCAACACAUUUAUGUAAUCUGCUUUGUUUUCUUUAUAAUUAGUAUGAUUUACUUCAAGGUUUUGACCGUAUCUACAAAUUAUCCCAGUUUAAGCAUAAUCCAAAUAAAUUUUAAAAACUGACAAAAUAAUUUAGCAAAAGAGCAUUUUUGCAUGUAUUCAGUUGUAUUUUCAAUAGAAUAGUUUUUUUAACCCUAUGUAAAUCUAGAUUGUGGGUAAAUUAUUGAGAAAAUGUUAUAAUAAGUGAUUUAAUGUUUACAUCUCAAAUCACUUAUGCAAGUGAUUUUAAAAAGUGUUUCUAAUUUUAUAAACAUUUUUCAUUUUUCAAUAGCGCAAUCACUUUAAUAGGUGAUCCUGAAAUCACUUGUUUAAGUAGUACCCCUGACUGUUUAAUGUUUAGUCAAUAAAUUCAAUGUUUUAAAUAAUAUCAAACGUACCAGGCUUUUAAUGUUAACCAGACACCUGUUUUGUGUAAUCAACACUUAUCAGUGACUCAAAUCGAAAUAUUAGUUAGGCAAAAAAAAAAUCUAGAGCAUAAGACAAAAUGAUAUUUGAUAUAAGUGCCAAUAAGACAAUGUAAUAGUUAUGUAAUUUAUGACACAGGUAUUGACUCACUCCAAAGAGCAAGCUAUAAUGGCCAAGGCAUUGCCAGUGUAAAACAAUUUAAAAGGAAAACCAACACAUACAAAACAGGAAAAACUGAUGACCAAUAAAUGAUUUUUUUCGUGGUAAAAAGUCAAUAUUCCAGAUACAAUAAGAACUAGACUUGCCAUUGCGAGCAAUAGCAGAUGUCACCCCGUUCCCCCAUUGCCAGGCCAUCUGGCCGUUUCCAUGACAACGGCAGCCAUUUUGAAAUUUCCAAAAGUCAAAAAACAUAUCUUUAUAUGCUAAAUCAACUGUCUAUAAAGUUUCAUAAAAUUUGGAGAAUUUUGAAAAUUUUCGAGUUUUUUGCCAUUUCUAUGGUAAUAAUAAUAAGCUAAUAAGAAUAGAUCUUUUAUAUUUGUCGUUUGGAAUGAUUGUAAGGUACACACGUCCAACUUUCAGGACAUUAAGUUUUACAUCAUUAAGAAUUGCAUUUUACAGUCAAUACAUUGUAGUACUUUUAUUAUUUCAGUGAAAUAUUUGUUUAUUUCAUUACAGGAGCACAGGAGCACUGGACAUUUAUUGAUUCUUUCCAUAGCAACACCACCAACAGCAGCAAAAAAGUUCAAGCAUUUCAAGAAUGGAAUGUUCUGUCCAAACAAACAUGUCUAUCACACCUUCAAGAGCUGAUAUUGGAAUCAUUAUUAGUAGAAUGGAAAACAGGGAUAAAAUCUAGCAAAAGGCCCAGUCGCACAUGGCCCCUAGAUUUUGAGCUGGGCUACUAAAUUACCUGGAAAAUAUACUGACUCAAAGACAGACUGAAAUACAGACAUUGACUGAAGAAAUGAAUGAGGACAAAGAAAAGAUGGGAGCAGAUUACAAACAAAAGCUUGCUAAUAUAGAAUCCAUACUGAAGAAAGAAAUGGCAAAUCAGAAUGAUUUAAUGAAUGAAUUAAAACAAAAUAAAGAAAUAAAGAGUCAAUGAGCUUCAGUCUGCUCUUCGUGAAAAAAGAAC
RNAcentral lists this long non-coding RNA (7602 nucleotides) under Mytilus galloprovincialis (Mediterranean mussel). Lineage: Eukaryota; Metazoa; Mollusca; Bivalvia; Mytilida; Mytilidae. The record is from RNAcentral.